RNAcentral lists this non-coding RNA (45 nucleotides) under Schistosoma mattheei. The record is from RNAcentral. Lineage: Eukaryota; Metazoa; Platyhelminthes; Trematoda; Strigeidida; Schistosomatidae.
AUCCAGUUGACGAGACCCAAAUAGGACGAAACACGCGUCCUGGAU